Molecule: ribosomal RNA, 619 nt
Filed under: Erythrobacteraceae bacterium
Lineage: Bacteria; Pseudomonadati; Pseudomonadota; Alphaproteobacteria; Sphingomonadales; Erythrobacteraceae
Description: bacterial SSU rRNA
Rfam family: Bacterial small subunit ribosomal RNA
Source: RNAcentral
CGCGGUGGGAACCUGCCUUUAGGUUCGGAAUAACUCAGAGAAAUUUGAGCUAAUACCGGAUGAUGUCUUCGGACCAAAGAUUUAUCGCCUUUAGAUGGGCCCGCGUUAGAUUAGAUAGUUGGUGGGGUAAUGGCCUACCAAGUCGACGAUCUAUAGCUGGUCUGAGAGGAUGAUCAGCCACACUGGGACUGAGACACGGCCCAGACUCCUACGGGAGGCAGCAGUGGGGAAUAUUGGACAAUGGGCGAAAGCCUGAUCCAGCAAUGCCGCGUGAGUGAUGAAGGCCUUAGGGUUGUAAAGCUCUUUUACCAGGGAUGAUAAUGACAGUACCUGGAGAAUAAGCUCCGGCUAACUCCGUGCCAGCAGCCGCGGUAAUACGGAGGGAGCUAGCGUUGUUCGGAAUUACUGGGCGUAAAGCGCGCGUAGGCGGCUUUUUAAGUCAGGGGUGAAAUCCCGGAGCUCAACUCCGGAACUGCCCUUGAAACUGGGAAGCUAGAAUAUUGGAGAGGUAAGUGGAAUUCCGAGUGUAGAGGUGAAAUUCGUAGAUAUUCGGAAGAACACCAGUGGCGAAGGCGACUUACUGGACAAUUAUUGACGCUGAGGUGCGAAAGCGUGGGGA